GACGAACGCUGGCGGCGUGCUUAACACAUGCAAGUCGAACGGAAAGGCCCUGCUUUUGUGGGGUGCUCGAGUGGCGAACGGGUGAGUAACACGUGAGUAACCUGCCCUUGACUUUGGGAUAACUUCAGGAAACUGGGGCUAAUACCGGAUAGGAGCUCCUGCUGCAUGGUGGGGGUUGGAAAGUUUCGGCGGUUGGGGAUGGACUAGCGGCUUAUCAGCUUGUUGGUGGGGUAGUGGCUUACCAAGGCUUUGACGGGGAGCCGGCCUGAGAGGGUGACCAGCCACAGUGGGACUGAGAUAGGGCCCAGACGCCUACGGGAGGCAGCAGUGGGGAAGAUUGCACAAUGGGCGGAAGCCUGAUGCAGCAACGCCGCGUGCGGGAUGACGGCCUUCGGGUUGGAAACCGCUUUCGCCUGUGACGAAGCGUGAGUGACGGUAAUGGGUAAAGAAGCACCGGCUAACUACGUG
Molecule: ribosomal RNA, 468 nt
Filed under: uncultured bacterium
Lineage: Bacteria
Description: partial 16S ribosomal RNA
Rfam family: Bacterial small subunit ribosomal RNA
Source: RNAcentral